This is a long non-coding RNA of Erythranthe guttata (spotted monkey flower), 471 nucleotides long. RefSeq lists it as uncharacterized. The record is from RefSeq and is a predicted model, not a curated record. NCBI's taxonomy places the organism in Eukaryota, Viridiplantae, Streptophyta, Magnoliopsida, Lamiales, Phrymaceae.
GCUAUUAGUCGUCACUCUCGGUUUUUCAACCGAUCUUUUUUCUCUCUUCAUUGUUCUUCUUCUUCAAACCCUAGAUCUACUCUUUCCAUCACUACAAAAUCGAAGAGGCAACAGAAAAUCACCGGUGGCCGGAGUCGACAAACAGAGGCGGUAAAGGACUAGCGGCUAGACACCGACGGAGUUCUGAAAAUUACCGUACGCCGCCCAAUUUCUCACCACACCCGCCGCUCUCCGCCAAAUCACCGCCGCCGCCCUUCACCAGAACCGCCGUCGCGCUACUCCGAAGUGUCAUUCGAACGAUGCAUCCCUUCUCCCUCCGCUGCUUGCCGAGAUCUAUAAUAUUAAUCGAUUUGUUCACCACUGUCGUCACCGCCUCUCUUACUGUCUCUUUCGUUCACCGCCGCAACGGUCGUUGUCAUCGACUUGCCCUCCCUCUGUUUCGUUAUUUUCUAUCUUUAUUUAUGUAUUUUU